GCCCAGGAUGCCACAGCACUUGCGUUCAGCGUCUGGAGUCAGCUCAGAGAGUAUCCUGUGGCGAAGAUUUCAAGGUUGAAUAAAAGCGCCAGAGAUGGUCGCAUCUAGCUGUUUCCAGUCUGGGCCACCGCUGCACCAGCCACACCUCUCUAGGACCACCUCAAGCAGCCCUUUCCUGUGUCUGGACUGUCUUUCUACUGCUGGUCUAGCUCUCAUCCAGUGAAUGGUUACAUCAGUUCCCGGAGGAGUUGGAGGGCUUUCGUCAUCCCUGAGAAGAAGGCAAUAGUAUUAACCACA
This is a long non-coding RNA of Grammomys surdaster, 297 nucleotides long. RefSeq lists it as uncharacterized. NCBI's taxonomy places the organism in Eukaryota, Metazoa, Chordata, Mammalia, Rodentia, Muridae. The record is from RefSeq and is a predicted model, not a curated record. The transcript is spliced from 3 exons.